This 1346-nucleotide ribosomal RNA is filed under the name uncultured bacterium. Its description in RNAcentral is "bacterial SSU rRNA". It matches the Rfam family "Bacterial small subunit ribosomal RNA", at positions 28 to 1381 of the family's 1533-position model. The record is from RNAcentral.
GACGAACGCUGGCGGCGUGCUUAACACAUGCAAGUCGAACGGAAAGGCCCUGCUUUUGUGGGGUGCUCGAGUGGCGAACGGGUGAGUAACACGUGAGUAACCUGCCCUUGACUUUGGGAUAACUUCAGGAAACUGGGGCUAAUACCGGAUAGGAGCUCCUGCUGCAUGGUGGGGGUUGGAAAGUUUCGGCGGUUGGGGAUGGACUCGCGGCUUAUCAGCUUGUUGGUGGGGUAGUGGCUUACCAAGGCUUUGACGGGUAGCCGGCCUGAGAGGGUGACCGGCCACAUUGGGACUGAGAUACGGCCCAGACUCCUACGGGAGGCAGCAGUGGGGAAUAUUGCACAAUGGGCGGAAGCCUGAUGCAGCAACGCCGCGUGCGGGAUGACGGCCUUCGGGUUGUAAACCGCUUUCGCCUGUGACGAAGCGUGAGUGACGGUAAUGGGUAAAGAAGCACCGGCUAACUACGUGCCAGCAGCCGCGGUGAUACGUAGGGUGCGAGCGUUGUCCGGAUUUAUUGGGCGUAAAGGGCUCGUAGGUGGUUGAUCGCGUCGGAAGUGUAAUCUUGGGGCUUAACCCUGAGCGUGCUUUCGAUACGGGUUGACUUAAGGAAGGUAGGGGAGAAUGGAAUUCCUGGUGGAGCGGUGGAAUGCGCAGAUAUCAGGAGGAACACCAGUGGCGAAGGCGGUUCUCUGGGCCUUUCCUGACGCUGAGGAGCGAAAGCGUGGGGAGCGAACAGGCUUAGAUACCCUGGUAGUCCACGCUGUAAACGGUGGGUACUAGGUGUGGGGUCCAUUCCACGGGUUCCGUGCCGUAGCUAACGCUUUAAGUACCCCGCCUGGGGAGUACGGCCGCAAGGCUACAACUCAAAGGAAUUGACGGGGCCCCGCACAAGCGGCGGAGCAUGCGGAUUAAUUCGAUGCAACGCGUAGAACCUUACCUGGGUUUGACAUGGAUCGGGAGCGCUCAGAGAUGGGUGUGCCUCUUUUGGGGUCGGUUCACAGGUGGUGCAUGGCUGUCGUCAGCUCGUGUCGUGAGAUGUUGGGUUAAGUCCCGCAACGAGCGCAACCCUUGUUCACUGUUGCCAGCACGUUAUGGUGGGGACUCAGUGGAGACCACCGGGGUCAACUCGGAGGAAGGUGGGGAUGACGUCAAGUCAUCAUGCCCCUUAUGUCCAGGGCUUCACGCAUGCUACAAUGGCUGGUACAGAGAGUGGCGAGCCUGUGAGGGUGAGCGGAUCUCGGAAAGCCGGUCUCAGUUCGGAUUGGGGUCUGCAACUCGACCUCAUGAAGUCGGAGUCGCUAGUAAUCGCAGAUCAGCAACGCUGCGGUGAAUACGUUCCCGGGGCU